GGAGGCAUCGAUUUUUAAGGGGCGGGGGAGAGGGUGAGAGAUAUAGGAAGGGGGGGGGGGGUGAAAAGGGCAAGAGGAAGAUGACGGGACUCGGUGCCGAUGGCGGCAGAGCUCAGGAGAGUUGAGCAGCGGCGGUGGAGCAGCGGGGAUGGAGUAGUGUUGGUGGUGAGAAACAUAAGAAACCUGGUGGCGCCGCCCAUUUUCCUGGUAAAUUAGGGGUGGAAAUGCAUAAGGGGCAGUCAGCAAGGAGCGAUGAUGACGGACGACGGUGGCGCUAAAACCCCAGUGGUGGUGGACUG
RNAcentral lists this unclassified non-coding RNA (299 nucleotides) under Hevea brasiliensis (rubber tree). The record is from RNAcentral. Lineage: Eukaryota; Viridiplantae; Streptophyta; Magnoliopsida; Malpighiales; Euphorbiaceae.